CGGCCGAUAUUCUCUGAGAUGGGAAGGAAAUCUAUAAAAGCCCUUUGACAUCCCCGGGGUGAGCUGGCAGCGUUGCCAUGUGCUGCCCAGCCCUCCUGAGGGGUAGCACAGGUACCCAUUUCUAAUCUGGAAUGUUCAUUGUCGGAUUGACUGUUUUCAGUGUAGUUUCAGGGGGUUUUUUGUAAAUGACACGCGAAGCCACCUGCUGUGUGUGAGCGACUGGGUUUGCCCUGUCUUCCCCCAAUAUCCCCCCAGCUCUGCUGCUGUUUCUUCAGGUGCCUUGGGGAGUCACCAUUUGGGAACACCAGACCUGUCUGGAGGUCACUUUCUGCUCCUGAAUGUUCCCGACCUUGGUUUCAGAAAGAACGGACUAAGAAGCCAGACUGAAAAACAUGAAAAAGGUUCUGAUGUUCAGAGGUGUUGGACAGCCAACAGGGAGGGAGGGCACCCUGAACUUUGACAGGCUAGCAAUGAAAUCGAAUUCACGGUGUUUUCCGAGCCAUUGUUGAGCCAGCCCAGGAGACACCAUUUCAAAGAGAUGUGGAUGGUAAACCUUGCUCUGCCAGUGACUCAGCCUCCGGCCUCAGCCAAGUCGCUUUACCACACCUUGAGAGGGAGAUAAUGCUUACCUACCUCAUCUUAUGAGGCUUCACUAAUGUUUAUAUAGUGCUUUGAAUGUUUAAAGAACUGAGUGCUGUUUAUGCAUUUUGGUGCUCCAGAUCCUAUGAUCUUUGGUCCUUUAAAAAUACAUAGGAGACUCAAGCGGUCCCAGAGGAAAUGCCCUUACAGGAGGCAUCCCAGAGCAGCAGAGCAGGGAGAAGGCCUUGUGCUGUGCACAGCUUGUGUGAACGUGGUGCUGCACCAGAAGCUGGAGUGCUGGAACCAGAACAGGUUGCUCUAGGAGCCUAUGCAAACCUCAUGCUGAGGAAGCUCCCUGCAUCUAGGCUGGAGGCGUUUCAGUCUGCUUUGGUAAAGCCAGCUCCUGCUCUUCUGCUCUGCCCUCUCACGCUCAAAUCCAGAGCUUAAUUUUGUGCCUUCUUCCAGAUAGUCCAAGCCAUAGGGGGUUUCUGGACCUUCUCUUUCUCCCAAAAGGAUAUUUUCUUGCCUUGGAUAGAGGAGAGUGCACCAUUUGUGAGUUCACUCAAAGGACACCUCUGUCCUUGGCAUCCAUGGAAAUCUGUGGAAGCAAGACUGCUAUUUACACCCUGUAAGAAGAGGCAUUUGUGCUGUGACACAGUGUUCUAGGUCGUCCACUCCUGCCAGUGAUGUGUACAGCAUGUGCAGCAUGACUGCAUGGGCUGUAUUUUAUAUAUAAUCCUCCAGAGACUACACUGGCAACUCUCACCUCCCUCUGACAAACACAAACUCACACCCACACCCACAGCUCCACAAUACCACGCAGCUAAAUAAUAACCUGACUGUCCAUACUGACUUGGUUCAAGAGUCUUUUCCAGCCAAACCAGUCAGGACCUGCUCCUGCACGGUGAGAUAUAAAAUCCCCAGAGAUCUCAUGGCUCUUCUGGUCCUGGGUCAGACACACAUGGCAGAUGGCCCCUUAGGGACUCUGAGCAAUAAGGGGGGACCUGUCUGAGGCAAACAGGGUUCUCUGAGGUACCAGAACCUGUAUGGUCUUUAGGCAGCAUGAACCAUCUCCUGCUUUCGACUUCUUUUUAAUGAGUGGCAGUGGUUUUACAGUGAAUGGGUAAACAUACCUUUCAUUUAAUUAUAUAAGCAUUUAGUAGGUUCUAUUUCUCACCCAUAUACCCUCAAUUAUGGAAGUAAGAAAGUUAACAUCCUGCCUCCUCCCUUCUCUAGGUAGAGUCUCAGAGAACAGGCUGAAGGCUUUGAAAGGUAGAAGAGUAGAGGCGCCCAAAAGUGGAAAUGGACAGGUGGCACUAGCCAAGGGAUGAGCAAUGUGUUCUUCCUCUGUGAAAGUAUGAAAGUUUCAUUGUUAAACAUGUCAGUUCUUCUAAUAAGAAGUCUAAAAUAAGGAGACCUGAAGGCUUUCCACACUUCCAGGCUGGUUCUGUGGGUACAAUUUCCUGUGCUUCAUCAGCUGCAAAAAGAAAAAUGUGUGAAGAGCAAUGGUUGUGCUGCAGAGAUGGUGUGUAAGCAGAUGUGUCCUGGGAGAUCCAUCCAUCCCUGCAUUGAGAUCCUGAUAGAAAGGAGAAGCUUCAACUCUGGCCCUAAAAAACAUCAGGAAAAGCACAUUGCAGACAACAAGGAGGUACUUCUGCAGCUGUAAAGUAUAAUCUUCUGAUGUGGGUUAUACUUUGUGACGACUUUCCACUGUCAGUUCAGGAGUCCCAGCAGUGUGUUGAGAUGAUAGCUGGAGAUCACAUAACCACAGAAUAGUCAGGGUUGGAAGGGACAUCUGGAGAUCAUCCAGUGCAACCCCCGUGCCAAGGCAAGGUCACCUGGAGCAGGUGACAGAGGAACAAUCCAGGUGGGUUUUGAAUGUCUCCAGACAGGGAGACCUCGCUGGGCAGCUGUUCCAGAGCUCUGCCACCUUCAAAAUAAAGAAGUUCUUCCCCACGUUGAGGUGAAACUUUUUGUGUUUUAGUUAAGGCCUUUGCUCCUGUUGCUGGGUACCACGAAAGAGAGUGUGGCACCAUCCCCUGGCACCCAGCUUUGAGACAUUGGUAUGGAUUAAUGAGAUCUCCUCUGAGUUUUCUCUAAAUAAACAGACCCAGCUUCCUCAGUCUACUCAUAAAAGAGGUGCUCCAGUCUUCUGAUGGGGCCUCUGCUGGCCCCUCUGCAGUAGCUCCUUGUCUGUCUUGUUCUGUGGAGUCCAGAACUGGACACAAAGAUGUGUGCAUGAGAGAUGAAUCCACUGAGUCCUCUUUUGCAAUCAGCUCUCCCUGUAGUAUUUCAAACUUCAGGAAAGCGUGGUCUCAUGGUUACUUUUCUAUCUCCUCACAAUCAAUUCUCCUUUCUCUAUCUCUUUUUUUUCUUACUUUAAAUUUGAAAUAAAGAUCCAAAUUAAAUGGCCAGUGAACAGAAUUCUGACAUGACCAAUUUUGAAUGCCACACUUCCCAGAUGCCUGACUCUAAAAACCUUAAGAGCUGACUUUCAUUAAAUGCCAGCACCUUUUGCUCUACCAUGAAGUUUCAGGCUCAAACCUGGAAGGUAACACUUGAAAACACUCACUUUUCCUGAACAUUUCAGCCAAGCAAUUCCUAUUUAAGAUUAGCUGCCAUGCAUUAAGUCUGCUUCAAUAACUUUAUAAUUGAUUGCAAUGCUUAAUUGUGAUAGCCAUCACAAACCUUGUAGCAACUUGAUUUUUCAAGUUCACCAACCAGCUGUUUUUUCCGAGUUGGCAGGAUUACAUGUCCUGUCCCAUAAAACCAUGAGAAAGGAAGUAAUUACUAAUUAUUUGACCAUCUAUCAAGAUCUCCUGGGCUUUUGCUGGUUCAAGCUAUUGAACAUGCAGAGUCAGAGUGUGACUUUGCACUGACGUAGUCUGGUAAUUUUUAGCUUCAUCUCGCAUUUCCGGUUUUCUGUCCUUGGAAUAUAGAACUUUCCAAACAACAUUGGUGAAUAGUGACAUAGUUGUGGGCAGAGAGCUUGGUCAAAGUGGUCCAAGUAAAUAAACUGACUUAUUUCACAUCACACUCUUGUCAGACGGAGAGAUAACAGGCCAAUUGUCUGUGCCCUGAAGCCCUGGAGCUCUACAGGAUUCAACAAAGAUCUUUGCUGGAUGCCUCAGGGGUGCUGGAUUCAUGUCAUCCCAAUCUGACCCUUCAGUGGGAAUAAGAAAUUCAGAUGGGCCACAGAAAGCAUUGGGUGCAUUGAAAUCCCAACUUUGCUGGGCCCUGGUCACAAAGAUGCACAGCAAAACAUACCCAGGAAGGAAGCCACUCCCCUUGGAAGAGCAAGUGUAAUUAUUCAUGCACAGACAGUGCUCAUCAGAGAAUCUCCCCAGCACAGCAGCUUCUUGCAUGACAGGAUUAAUUGACAGCUGUCUGUUCUAAUUGUGAUAACUUCAUAUCUCUCAGCGAUUGAUUGCCAUUAAGACUCCUUUUUUCUCACCUUGAAAUUCUUUUCUUUUUGCUGAAUUGCCAGGAUUGUCAUUUUCCUUCUGUGCUAAUAAUUAAUCAUUUCAUGUAGGAAUAAUCAGCUGGUGUAGACAAACAUAAUUAUCAUUCUCUUGCCCCUUUCUUAGCACCUUUUAUUGUGUGGAGUCUCAUCUACUUUCACUUUUAAGCCCUUAAAACCAGGAUUUGGGACUGUUGAACACCAAGCACAAGAGCCUAAUGGGAUCUGCAACAGUGGCACUAGAGGAGAAGCACAUUAAUUAUGCACAUAAACAUGUAAUAAUGAGGCUUAUCUGUACGCAGAAGUGCUGCUGAGGAUACUUAGCAGGCAGCUUUGGCCGGGCAAUAUCUCCCCUGGCCACCAUUCUUCUGAUCCCAUGUGGAAGCUGAGGAGAUGUGAAGGAAUACUGUGGCUUGAGAGAGUGGUUGUUUAUUGCUCUGGUAUUUACUGCUGCUGCGAGACAGGGAAUGGUAUCUCAGCCUUUUCCUGCCUCGUUGUGCAACGUGCCACGCAUCAGGUCGCGCAACGCCGAGGCCUGGCAGGGCCUGCGUACGGAGGAGGCUGCGGAGCAGGGCUGCAGGAUGUUGUUGGUUGGCACCUUCCCAUGGAUUCCCUGUGAUGUGCAGCAUCCUGGAGUGGGAGGGAGGUGCUGGUGUGAAGCUCAAAACGCCAGUGGGAGUGCGCGAGAUAUGCACCGGCUGAGCGUGUCCCGACAGGAGAGCCCUGGCAGGGCAGGCUGAGGGGGAAAGGGGCACAGCCUUGGCCCUGCCAGCCUGUGAGGAGCGUGGGCCCCACUUGUGACAACCUCCUGGUAUAUCAGUGGCAGAUUUGGACAUCUAGGACCAAGUCUUUUGACCCUGAGAUUUGAAUCAACCCUUCCCAAAUGGAGCCACGUUAAGCAGUGCUGUUUAGUGUGGUUCACACUAGACAUUUUGCUGCUGUGAUUCAGAAUUCUUGUCUGAGCUACACUUUUGAGACACAGGCUUCUGCCUCUUCCCAUUCAGCUGAUCACAGGUAAACAAAUGUAUGUAUAAUGAAGUCUCUAAAGUAAUUUUCAGAUAGACACUUUGCAAAAUAAUAAAUCUGGUAGUACGAGAUUUUAUUCUGACUCAUGGACUAUCUAAGAUGGCAACAUUUGAGUCCCACAGAUUCAUUUGUAUGGGACUUUACAUAUCUUAUAAGCAUUCUACAUUAGUAGCUUUUCUAAAAGAGUCACUAAAAUUAAAGUGCUGCUAGAAACAUGCAAUCAAACACCACCGUGUCAUAAAACAUUGUUAAAGAACUGUGGGAAGACUAGUCUUACUAGUCUAGAAGAUGAUUAUACUGCUGAUAGAGUCCACUUGGGAGACACAAACAUAUCAGCUGUGCUUCUGAUAAUACAUGCUGCACACAUUUGAGCAGUUCUUUAUAAAUUUCUUGUUUUCACCCACCAUGCAAUUACUUCAGGUUUAUCUCAGUGAUCUAACAAAUUGCAUUGCUGGGAACUAAAAGGAUUUUGUUUCUUAACUGCUGUAAUAGGUGCUAUGGAGGGAUGAGCAGUGGUGCCUGGAGAAGGGAAUUACCCUGUGGAUGCAUUUGAUCACUCUUUGGGUCCCUCAGUGCUUUGUGUAAGUGGAGCUGGGCUCACUUUGUCUUCUGUGCACCAGGGAUGCAUUUCCAUCCCUACUCAUCUCACUACUUGAACAAGACUUAAAAAUGGAGGAAUCUUCCAACUAGAUCACAAUCCUUUUGGAAGAAUUCCAGUUGAUCACGCUGUUCAGCAGACUGCAAAUAAAGGAACUCUGAUUCAAGGAGGGGUUUUAAUUCCAGAUGAGAGAUUUAUUUUCACUCACUGCUGAACAGCAAAAUCCCUGUAGGAGGUAACUGAGACAUGCUAUAGUAUAGUAAUUCUAAGUUAAGGUGUGCAAAACUGGAGAUAUUUGGCUAUUUAAGUAGAAAGAUACUGAAGCCUUGCUGGACAUGAUUAAUUCAGCAAGUUCUGAUCAGACACAGUCAGUCUGUCCGGGGGUCAGGCAACCUUGUCAGAUGUCAACAGUUUACUAUGUCAACAUUCAGUAGGAGAGCAAGCACAUGCUGAUUUUUCAAACAAUUAAGAGUGCCCUUCCAUGACAAAAGUUUUAUAAGAGACUCUCCAAAAAGAAACUUCAUCUUUUCAGCCAUCAAUAGAAAAGAAAGUGAUUGCAUUCAGGAAAGAAAAGCUGUAGCUCAAAUCAGACAGGAACUUGGAGAUGUUAGUUGUGCAAAUCUCUGCUUUCUGCAGUGUUAAGAGAAGUGCUGACAUAGGCCAAGUAGUCCCUAUCCCUUGGCAGUCUUAGCUGGAUCAUUAGGAAAAAGAAACAAAGUGGAAGCUGGGUGUUGUCUUUCAAGUGAAGAAAGCUGUAGAAUUGAUGUAAUGUUUGACUUUUAGAGGAGGCAUUCAUAGUGUCUCCUCUGUGGAGAGGCAGCAGAGCUUCCAGCACCAGCAUUCAUUCCCAGAACGUCACUGCAACUUAAAACAUUCAACACUGGAAAUGAAUCCAACAUUUGUGCAGCAGUUACAAGUGUCACAUUAUUGAUUGUGCCUUUAUGAUGUUCUAUAGUUCCCGGUGGAACAUUGUACAACAGGAUGGUCCAGACCCUCAGGAGCCUCUCUGACACUCACACAGGUGCAGGCUGGGAGCUUGUGCACUUUCCUGCUGUGGCACUGGACCCAGUGGUGAUUCUGCAGGGCAAGGAAAACUACAGCCUGACCCCUUGCAUUAUUACAGAGGCUGGAAAAGAAUGGGAGCCGCUGCCAUUUCCUAGCAGAAACUAAAAUGCCACUUUAUAUUCCAGUAAAAACUGAUAGUAAAUAAUAUCACAAGCUUUUCUGCACCAAAAAAAAAAUUUAAAAAAAUUAAAAACCCAACCCAAAAGUAACUUUAUCCAGCUUCCACCAUGCCAUUCCAAUGUGUACUGUGUCUACAAUACCAAGCACAGGUCUGCAGCUGAUCCCCACAGUGCCAGAUCUCCCAAACUGCAGCAGGAUGUAGCUACAGAAGGGUACCUGGACAUCAUGGGUGUCUGGAGCUAAGGUGUGCUUGAGCAGUUAUGAAAUGGACCCACAAUUAGUCCUGGCAAUGGAAUGAGUGUAUUUACAAUACCCAUAGCCCUGUAUGGCUGCUUAAUCUGCAAACCUUUACUGAGCUGGAUAAAAAAAAGAGUUUAUUGGAUCUUUUCAGGAUUGAUCUGAAGGAGAAAAAUUAGGAUGUUUAAAAAAACUAAGCUGCCUCUGGGAUGUCUAGCAUACUUCAACUAAUGAAAGACACUGUCUGCUGCUUACAGUAACUGAAACAAAUAGGAUCAAUUUUAUUCCUUACUAAUAUUUAGAUUUCACUUUUGAGCAAUAACUAUGCAAAACCUAAGGGUUACUACACACAAAUAGAUUCAUCAUAAGACUGGGAGUUAUCACAGAGAGUAUAAUUAUGAUUAUUAAAUCCAGCAUGAAGCAAAGGGUGUAGUAGACGAACAAGACAACACAGGAUCUCCAAAGUGUUACUGAAGUUCAUCUCCAACAUUGAGUCAAGAGCUGAAGUUUCUGGCCUUGGUUGGGUGAUUCUUGCCACAGCACCCUAUACAUUUAACUUAUGUCAAGUUUCUCUUAACACUUAUAUACUGUUAACAAUUCCUGAAUGAAAUUCUGAUAUAUAUAUAAAAGAGAUCCAGCUCUUUCUCAGAUAAACAUUAAAUUUGCAUUCAUAUAACUGCCAUUAAAACACACUGGUUUAUUUAUAAGGCAAAUCACAAAUUUUCUAGAAAGUUGCAGGAAUGCUCUUAGAUAAGAUGAUAUAUUAAUAGGAUAUAUAUUUCUGGAAAGAUUUGUCAAAAAGUAGCUAAUACUGCUUUACUCUUAAUUUCAACAUGACCCAAAGCAUUUAAUUUUAGCUUUAUGACCUUCUAACUAAAAGUCUUCUUACUGGAUCACAUCUCAAAAUGUUGUACUUUGUGUCUUUACCUGGCUUAUAUACAAGACCAAAAUGGUUGGCUGUUUUCCUCCAUCUCUUCAGUUUUACUGUUGAGACCUAUUAUUUCAGUAGUUGACACCAGAAUACAAUUUUUUGUUCAAAAGUAUUUUUUGUACCACAGAUGGAUAUUUUAGAAAUAUAAGAUGUUAUUGUGUAGAAAGUUUUCUGUAGAUCAGAUGAGCCUUUAUUGAAAAAUAUGAAGAAAAUAUUGAUGCUUCUCUGUCUGUGCUGCAGUCAGUCAUUUUGGUACAGAAAUGAAGAAUGGGUGCUGUUGUGAGCAAAUGAUGGCAUCUGAGAAUAAUUAAAAAAUAGAAAAUAUUCUAAUGCCAAGAAAGUCACUUGUGGAGAAGUUUACCAAGGGAUUUCCUGGUUCAGUAGAUCAACACUUAGACUAUUGAAGAGGCAAGAUAAUAGUUCUGAACACCAUAGGAAGAAGAGUCUGUGCAUGAUUUUACUCCUGAUCGUAAAAAAUUUCACAAACAAUACUUUGCUACAUACAUAAUCUACUUUUUGUAUUUACAGAUAAGACGUCAAAAAAUUACAAAUUUGAUGCCUGAUUUUUGAUGUCAGAUCUCAUUUAGUUCUGUAUUAAUUUUAUUCAAUCUAAAGCAUGUUCAUUGCUAUGUAAUAUCAAUUAUUUAAUAAUGAGACAGCUUAGUUGUGAUUUUUGUGACCAUAGUGAAGAUGUGCAGUACUCUUCACAUUAAUAAAGUAUUUUUAUGGUUUUGUUUUUAACUGUAGUGUGUACAGCAUUUUCUCAGACUGCAUGCACAGUUCCCUUGUUUUGGUGUGAUCUGACAUGCAGUAUACCUUGGGAAUCUUUUAAUACUAGCAGGCUCAGCAAGUAGUCAUUUCUCCAUGAUAAGAAUAGCUGUGGGAAGGUUGAACAGUAUAAAAAGGAAAAAGAAAAUACUAUCUGCACUUCAAAGAUUCCCUUCAGAUGCAGCAGAUAGAAAAUCCACACAGAUUACUGCAGAAGCUGUAGGUGAAAUUAAAAGUUGCCAUCUCCAAUAUAUGCAUUUGCCUGAAGUA
This is a long non-coding RNA of Passer domesticus (house sparrow), 9054 nucleotides long. RefSeq lists it as uncharacterized. Lineage: Eukaryota; Metazoa; Chordata; Aves; Passeriformes; Passeridae. The transcript has 3 exons. The record is from RefSeq and is a predicted model, not a curated record.